This 1096-nucleotide long non-coding RNA is filed under the name Anser brachyrhynchus (Pink-footed goose). Its description in RNAcentral is "lncRNA (ENSABRG00000007267.1)". The record is from RNAcentral. Lineage: Eukaryota; Metazoa; Chordata; Aves; Anseriformes; Anatidae.
AUGAAUGCAUCUAGUUUUAAUAUUUGUGAGAGUAGGAGGAACGUAGGAGGAGCACAGAAGUUACACAUCUCCAGAUUAGAUGGUUAUCCAAAUGAGGUUUCCUGUCAGCAUCUCGAUUGGAGUGGCUUUGUGAGUGAAGAAAGUAAAGAAAGUCCACACAGAUUCAGAACUGAACAAGAUCGAUGUCAGCCUGGAAGAACUGCUUAUAGUUACAGCAGCACUGUGCAUCAAGGGACAGCACCUCUACAUAUGGAGAAGGUAAAGCAUUUACAUUAAUACUAAUACUCAAAUGCACCCAAUAUUGAAGGCCCUUUCAAGAGUGACUUCUGCCUCCACUUGGCAUGGUAAACCAGGUGAUUUUUUGCCAUUUGCAGUGGUUAUCCACACCAGUUUCAAUUUGAAAUACACUUAUAUCCUCCUUCAUUGUCUUGAAAAUUAUUUGUAUUCCACCUCAGAUACUCAUUUUGCACAUUCUGAUUACUGCCCUUAAAACUUGAAAAAACAUUGUGCUUGACUGCUGCCUCCUGGGGAAGAUUGAGAAAGUAAAAUCACACCCACAAAGCAAAACCUUCAGUGAGUCUUUUAUGUAAUGUUUGAACUUUGUAGAUUUUAACACUCAGCUUGACAAACCCAUCACCAUUUCAUACCUUACUGAAUCCUCCCAGUACUACCCAGCAUAUAAUAUUUAAACUUUAACUUCAUUUAAAACAUAAUUUUAAACUUGAAAUUCUGAAGGGUUGAUGAGAUAGAAAUUGGUCUGAAGCAUUAAGGGAGAAGAACAUUUAUUUUGUAAUAUAUUUAGUACUUUGCAAGUCUAUAUCUUAUUUAAGAAAUGGCUUAACCACUUGGGACCCAGAAAAUUUAUUAAUAGUUUGUGAAACUUACUUCUUUUUUACAAGGAUAAAUCAUUUUGGAAAGUAGUUUUCAGGUUCCUAAUUUGCUUCACGUUUUCAAAAUGUGAGUAUACACUUUGUGAGUAUAAGAUGAAAAAAUACCACGGCGAAUUGAGGCAAAUAGUAUCUGAUGAGCUUCUGGAUCUCUUUGGGUUCCUUUCAAGUGCUUUAAAAGGUAAAAAUAAAAGGUGAGGUUAUUGACA